UCUAGAAAUUUACUAUUUAGAAUAGAACAAAGUAAUUUAUUACCAUGUUCUAGCCAAAAAAAGAUAUAAAACAACCAACAAGUAAAAAGACUUUAUUUGAAGAAGAUAAUGAAAUAGAAAAAAUAAAUAAGCAAAUAACAGAGUUAAAUAAUAUUGUAGAAAGUUUAAAUAAAAAGAUAUAAGAUGGAAAGAUUAAUAAUACAAAACAUAGAUUUAAAACAAAGAAUAAAAGAAUUAGAAGAUGAAAAUGAAGAGCAGCAUGAUUUAAUGCUAGCAAAGGAUAAAGUAAUAAAAAAGCAAGAAGAAUUUGUAAUAACUCUUUUAAAAAGGAUAGAUAAUUUAAAAAGAGAAUUAAACAGACAAGCGGACCUAGAAAAUAAGUCCCCUAGUACAGUUUUAUAUUAAUCCGCGACAAGCAAACUAGUGCUUCAAAUCUAGCCCCACAAAUUGGUAUCAGAGCAAGGAAUAGAUUCUAAGAAAUUACCAAAGAUGUCAAAAGAUAAUAAUUUAGAAAACUCAUUCAGAAAAGAUAUACAGCAUAAUCAAAUAUAUACUUUAGAACAUAACAUUAAUGCCUUCUUACCAAUAAGACAGAAGUCUUAUCAGUUAGAUGAAAACAUAAAAGAAAUAGAGUUUUAUAUCUCUGCAGGAAAAGAAAUAUCUGAACAAAAUAUAAGUAGAAAUUUACAAACAGUCAUUAGAAUACAAAAUAAUCAAACAGAAAUAUUGGUAUAUAUCUGUAAAAUAUUAUUUAAAGGUAUCGUAGAACCAACUAAGAAAAUUCCUAUAGCAAUUAGUAAUCUUUCAUAAAUAUUUAAGGAGACGAACAAAGGAAUCGAUAAGGCUGCUCUCCACGACGAUGUUCAUGUUCCUUGCGCAGUGGGGUUCUUUUUAAGAAGCAACUAGAAGAAUUUUCUAAACUUGAAAAACAAUUAGUUGAAAUUAAUAACAAGAUAGUUCAAAUAUUAGAAAAAAUAUAAUGAAUGAUCCACCAAGAGUCUCGGAACAAAUAAAUACGCUAAUAGAAUUAGAUAAACAAAAUAUGGAAAUGCAAAACGAAGUUAUAAACAGACUAAAAGAAAUUAAAAACCCUAAAGAAAAUAAGUAUAAAUACCAAGAACUUAUAGAUUACCUUAAAGAAAAAGGUAAAAAAGAAGAAAUAUCUAGUAGUAAUCAACAAAUAAGCAUAGAUAAAAAACAAUUUUUAGACUUGCUACAAGAAACUGUAAAAACUGAAAAUAAAAAGAAAUGUUUAACAUAAGAAGAAUUAAAAAGCAUUUUAGGAAAGAGCCAAAACCUAAAAUAAUAAUAGUAGAACCUACAGGAUUACCAUCACGAGAAAAAACAUCAUGGAUGAAGUUCAAAAAUUAACUGACCUUCUAGACAAAUGUAAUUUAGACAACAUACAAAUGUCGAAAAUAGAUGACGAAGACAAAGUACAGUCCAAUUAUGUCAGAUUGGAGUAAGUAAUCAGAAUUACCCAGACAUGCAUACAUGUGGUUACGAAGACAAAGAAAUAAUAGAUCA
This 1527-nucleotide long non-coding RNA is filed under the name Nicotiana benthamiana. RNAcentral's name for it is "long non-coding RNA (NBEN_LNC002738)". Lineage: Eukaryota; Viridiplantae; Streptophyta; Magnoliopsida; Solanales; Solanaceae. The record is from RNAcentral.